UACAGAGGGUGCGAGCGUUAAUCGGAAUUACUGGGCGUAAAGCGUGCGUAGACGGUUAUUUAAGUCAGAUGUGAAAGCCCCGGGCUCAACCUGGGAAUUGCAUUUGAGACUGAAUAGCUAGGGUGCGGUAGAGGGAAGCGGAAUUUCCGGUGUAGCGGUGAAAUGCGUAGAUAUCGGAAGGAACAUCAGUGGCGAAAGCGGCUGCCUGGACCAGCACCGACGUUCAGGCACGAAAGCGUGGGGAGCAAACAGG
RNAcentral lists this ribosomal RNA (253 nucleotides) under uncultured bacterium. Its description in RNAcentral is "partial 16S ribosomal RNA". It matches the Rfam family "Bacterial small subunit ribosomal RNA", at positions 524 to 776 of the family's 1533-position model. The record is from RNAcentral.